Molecule: unclassified non-coding RNA, 258 nt
Filed under: Hevea brasiliensis (rubber tree)
Lineage: Eukaryota; Viridiplantae; Streptophyta; Magnoliopsida; Malpighiales; Euphorbiaceae
Source: RNAcentral
CAGUUGGUUUGUUAUCAUCUCCAUUCUUUUAUGUAUUUAAAUUUUAUUAGCACCCUUGCCUUUAUAAAUCUACCAUUCAAGUUGAGAAAUAAAUGGGAUGGUUCAUUAUUGCUAUUAACUCGUUCUUUCUUGUGCUCACACAACAUCUUGUUGGCUGUGGAAUAAAGCCUAGCCGAAGAAAUCCCAUGGGAACUUAGGUUGAUGAACUGAAUUAUUAUUUGUGGCUGAGGUGGAUGUGGACGUUGAAGGUUCUGGCAG